RNAcentral lists this ribosomal RNA (429 nucleotides) under Actinomycetes bacterium. Its description in RNAcentral is "Actinobacteria bacterium partial 16S ribosomal RNA". It matches the Rfam family "Bacterial small subunit ribosomal RNA", at positions 355 to 776 of the family's 1533-position model. The record is from RNAcentral. Lineage: Bacteria; Bacillati; Actinomycetota; Actinomycetes.
UAGGGAAUCUUCCGCAAUGGGCGAAAGCCUGACGGAGCAACGCCGCGUGAGUGAUGAAGGUCUUCGGAUCGUAAAACUCUGUUAUUAGGGAAGAACAAAUGUGUAAGUAACUAUGCACGUCUUGACGGUACCUAAUCAGAAAGCCACGGCUAACUACGUGCCAGCAUCCGCGGUAUUACGUAGGUGGCAAGCGUUAUCCGGAAUUAUUGGGCGUAAAGCGCGCGUAGGCGGUUUUUUAAGUCUGAUGUGAAAGCCCACGGCUCAACAGUGGAGGGUCAUUGGAAACUGGAAAACUGGAGUGCAGAAGAGGAAAGUGGAAUUCCAUGUGUAGCGGUGAAAUGCGCAGAGAUAUGGAGGAACACCAGUGGCGAAGGCGACUUUCUGGUCUGUAACUGACGCUGAUGUGCGAAAGCGUGGGGAUCAAACAGG